This is a non-coding RNA of Leucoagaricus sp. SymC.cos, 86 nucleotides long. The record is from Rfam. NCBI's taxonomy places the organism in Eukaryota, Fungi, Basidiomycota, Agaricomycetes, Agaricales, Agaricaceae.
GGCUACUUGGCGCAAUGGUAGCGCGUUUGGCUUCGAUCGCCGAAAUUGGUACCAAAAGGUUGCAGGUUCGAGUCCUGCAGUGGUCA